RNAcentral lists this non-coding RNA (189 nucleotides) under Bacteroidota bacterium. Lineage: Bacteria; Pseudomonadati; Bacteroidota. The record is from RNAcentral.
UACAUUUGCGGCACUGAAGGUUUCCGCCUAAAAACGGAAUGAAAAGGGAACCGGGUGUGAAUCCCGGACAUUACCCGAUGCUGUAAGCUUCUUUAUAGCCUUUUGUAUCCUCAUUGCCACUGUUCUUGCAACGGGAAGGCCGCAAAAGGUGAAGUAAGUCAGAAGACCUGCCUUUAGCCCGAUGAUAUC